ACUGGUUCAACCGGUUCACUAAGAAGAACUGGUUAAAUAAUACGAUUCAUUCGCGAACCGUACAUCACCAGUACAAAGGGAAGAGAUAUUGAUACGUAGUGUAUUAAAUCUGUGCGUUAGUUUAUUGAGCCUUUUCUUUAAACAGUUUUAAACCUCAGUUACUGUGUGCUCUUGAAGAAAGUUUCAUGGUUUUGACUGUAGUGACUGAAAGCGACACGUAGUUUGAUUGCUGAAUGGAGGAUGACAGACAGCCACAGCAGAAAGAAGAGUUUAUGUGAACUGAAUUUAAUGACUUAAAUAUAAAUCUCUACCUCACAUUGAACUAUGGAACAGCUUCAGAACACUUGAAAUAUGUCCACGAAAACGUUUUGGUGCUUUAUAAUGUUUUUGUGCCUUUCGUGGGGGUCAGCAAUAACACAGAAUAGUAUAUGCACAAUAUCGGAUUUGGAUCGGUCUCGUCUGACCGAUACCCUAUCCACAGAAAAUGGCAGUAUCGGAGCCAAUGCCGAUCCUGAGUAUCAGAUCGAUGCAUCCCUAUACAGUACAUAAGCUAUUGGUGUUAAUACCCAGAUGAUUGCCACUUGCAGAUAAUUUGAAGAUUAUAUUUGUAAUUUUAUAAUUCUCUACAGUCUGUCAACAAACAGGUUGCUGCAAAGACCAUAAACAGGAUACGAGCCAGAUCUUUUCUACAGCAGUAUAAUCAAUAAAAAGAAUCAAACAGGGAGGCAGUAACAUCUAGAAACCGUGACAGUGAAUUUAAUGUUCAAAUACUUGCAGAACUGAGAGAAAUCAAGAGUGUUCUUUUGGGAACUCUGACACUUUUAAAAAAUGGAUGCACUCCAUUAAUGACUGCGCCAAUCCCAAACACAUUGGGAACUCCUGCUGGACCCACUUCAGAUUUGAUCCUCUGCAGUUCAGAGUCUUCUGCAGUCAUACCAGCCCAGAGUUCCUCUCUUCAGACUCUUUAUGUAAAGGAGUCAAGAAGUAAUGGUAACUGCAAAAAUGUAAGAAUUGGCCCCAACACGUCAAUCUCUGCUGAACAGUUUGCCCACGUGAAAUGGACUGAUCACACAAAAGCCACAAAAGACCUCUUGGUGGCAGUGUUUGGAAGAGGCAUUCUCACAACACACUGCUACACUGGAAGAUGUUCCAAUGCAUUCAAAAACAAAGCAGCCAAGCCUCAACUUGAUUCUGAAAAAGUUUCUGACAUCAUUAGUAAGUAAUGAUUUUCUGAAAAUUAAGUUUUGGCAGCAUUAUCAUAUUUUAAGAUAUUCAGGAAUUUGUAAUACUAU
Long non-coding RNA from Cyprinus carpio (common carp), 1292 nucleotides. The record is from Ensembl. NCBI's taxonomy places the organism in Eukaryota, Metazoa, Chordata, Actinopteri, Cypriniformes, Cyprinidae.